This 552-nucleotide ribosomal RNA is filed under the name Triticum aestivum (bread wheat). RNAcentral describes it as "partial small subunit ribosomal RNA". The record is from RNAcentral. Lineage: Eukaryota; Viridiplantae; Streptophyta; Magnoliopsida; Poales; Poaceae.
AUGGGGGACGCCGCCUCCAACCAUCCCGUUCUUGCUCAGUCGAGCUCCGACGCCGGCCGCGGCGCCGCGACCGGUGGGUUCAUCUCCCUCGACGUGGCCGCCCUCUCGUCGCUCGCCGGCGACGGCCCGGAAACGACGCCGGCAGCGCCGCCGGCCUCGACCCCGAGGACACCUAGGGUGGUGAGGUCGCUCUCGCGGAAGGGGUCAGAAAGGAAGCAGGCCGACGGCGACGCCGCCACUGGCACCAUAGGAGGCGGGGUAGGGACGGGCGAGAGGCCGCCGCUGUCCCCGCUCUUGGUCCAUGUGGCGGCCGCCGACGAGAUGCUGAACGGGCACCGGCUGGUGAACACGCCGGGGGGCGCCGGCACGCCGGGAGGGAAGUCCAGGCGGCUGGGGCGGCGUCCGGCGCCGUGGCUGGAUCCCCGAAGGGUCGUCUUCCUCUUCGCCACGCUGUCCAGCGUGGGGACCUUGAUUCUGCUCUACUUCACCCUUUCCAUGAACAAGAUGGACAGCGCCGGAAGCAGCACGGGAGCCGACAGCGAUGCACGGUGA